CACGUAGGCGGCGACGUAAGUUGGGUGUGAAAUCCCUCGGCCCAACCGAGGAACUGCGCCCAGUACUGCGUUGCUUGAGGAUCAAAGGGGUGCAUGGAAUUCCCGGUGGAGCGGUGAAAUGCGUUGAUAUCGGGAGGAACUCCGGCGGCGAAAGCGGUGCACUGGUUGAUUUCUGACGCUGAGGUGCGAAAGCCAGGGGAGCAAACGGGAUUAGAUACCCCGGUAGUCCUGGCCGUAAACGAUGGGCACUAGGUAGGGGGAAACCAAACGUCUCCCUGCUGGAGUGAAUAUAUUAAGUGCCCCGCCUGGGAAGUACGGUCGCAAGGCUGAA
This 331-nucleotide ribosomal RNA is filed under the name uncultured bacterium. RNAcentral's name for it is "bacterial SSU rRNA". It matches the Rfam family "Bacterial small subunit ribosomal RNA", at positions 568 to 898 of the family's 1533-position model. The record is from RNAcentral.